CCUACGGGAUGCAGCAGUGAGGAAUAUUGGUCAAUGGCCGGAAGGCUGAACCAGCCAUGCCGCGUGAAGGUCAGUGCCCUAUGGGCGUUAAACUUCUUUUGUGCGGGAGCAAUAAUGGUCACGUGUGGCCAGACGAGAGUACCGUACGAAUAAGCAUCGGCUAACUCCGUGCCAGCAGCCGCGGUAAUACGGGGGAUGCAGGCGUUAUCUGGAUUUAUUGGGGUUAAAGGGUGCGUAGGCUGUGAGGUAAGUCAGCGGUGAAAUGCCCCCGCUCAACGGGGUGAAGUGCCAUUGAUACUGCCUUGCUGGAAUGCGGAUGCCGUGGGAGGAAUGUGUGGUGUAGCGGUGAAAUGCAUAGAUAUCACACAGAACACCGAUUGCGAAGGCAUCUCACGAAUCCGCGAUUGACGCUGAUGCACGAAAGCGUGGGUAUCAAACAGGAUUAGAUACCCGGGUAGUC
This 460-nucleotide ribosomal RNA is filed under the name uncultured bacterium. RNAcentral describes it as "partial 16S ribosomal RNA". It matches the Rfam family "Bacterial small subunit ribosomal RNA", at positions 338 to 795 of the family's 1533-position model. The record is from RNAcentral.